Molecule: ribosomal RNA, 1212 nt
Filed under: metagenome
Description: bacterial LSU rRNA
Rfam family: Bacterial large subunit ribosomal RNA
Source: RNAcentral
UACACGACCGUACCGCAAACCGACACUGGUGCGCGAGAUGAGUAUUCUCAGGCGCUUGAGAGAACUCGGGAGAAGGAACUCGGCAAAUUGACACCGUAACUUCGGAAGAAGGUGUGCCUUUAGUAGGUGAAGUCCCUCGCGGAUGGAGCCCAAUGAGGUUGCAAAGAAUCGGGCUGCGACUGUUUAAUAAAAACACAGCACUCUGCAAACACGAAAGUGGACGUAUAGGGUGUGACGCCUGCCCGGUGCUGGAAGAUUAAGUGAUGGGGUGCAAGCUCUUGAUCGAAGUCCCAGUAAACGGCGGCCGUAACAAUAACGGUCCUAAGGUAGCGAAAUUCCUUGUCGGGUAAGUUCCGACCUGCACGAAUGGCGUAACGAUGGCCACACUGUCUCCUCCCGAGACUCAGCGAAGUUGAAAUGUUUGUGAUGAUGCAAUCUCCCCGCGGAAAGACGGAAAGACCCCAUGAACCUUUACUGUAGCUUUGUAUUGGACUUUGAACGGAUCUGUGUAGGAUAGGUGGGAGGCUUUGAAGCCGGGUCGCUAGAUCUGGUGGAGCCAACGUUGAAAUACCACCCUGGUGCGUUUGAGGUUUUAACCUAGGCCCGUAAUCCGGGCCGGGGACAGUGCAUGGUAGGCAGUUUGACUGGGGCGGUCUCCUCCCAAAGCGUAACGGAGGAGUUCGAAGGUACGCUAGUUACGGUCGGACAUCGUGACGAUAGUGCAAUGGCAUAAGCGUGCUUAACUGCGAGACUGACAAGUCGAGCAGAUGCGAAAGCAGGACAUAGUGAUCCGGUGGUUCUGUAUGGAAGGGCCAUCGCUCAACGGAUAAAAGGUACCCUGGGGAUAACAGGCUGAUACCGCCCAAGAGUUCAUAUCGACGGCGGUGUUUGGCACCUCGAUGUCGGCUCAUCUCAUCCUGGGGCUGUAGCCGGUCCCAAGGGUAUGGCUGUUCGCCAUUUAAAGAGGUACGUGAGCUGGGUUUAAAACGUCGUGAGACAGUUUGGUCCCUAUCUUCCGUGGGCGCUGCAGAUUUGAGGAAGCCUGCUCCUAGUACGAGAGGACCGGAGUGGACGCACCUCUGGUGUACCUGUUGUCACGCCAGUGGCAUUGCAGGGUAGCUAAGUGCGGAAGAGAUAACCGCUGAAAGCAUCUAAGCGGGAAACUCGUUUCAAGAUGAGAUCUGCCGGGGCCUUGAGCCCCCUGAAGAGUCC